ACGCAGUGAACUGAAACAUCUAAGUAGCUGCAGGAAGAGAAAGCAAAAGCGAUUGCCUUAGUAGCGGCGAGCGAAACGGCAGGAGGGCAAACCGAAGAGGUUACUCUUCGGGGUUGUAGGACUGCAAUGUGGACUCAAAGAUUAUAGAAGAAUGAUUUGGGAAGAUCAGCCAAAGAGAGUAAUAGCCUCGUAUUUAAAAUAGUCUUUGUACUUAGCAGUAUCCUGAGUACGGCGGGACACGUGAAAUCCCGUCGGAAUCUGGGAGGACCAUCUCCCAACCCUAAAUACUCCCUAGUGACCGAUAGUGAACCAGUACCGUGAGGGAAAGGUGAAAAGCACCCCGGGAGGGGAGUGAAAUAGAACCUGAAACCGUGUGCCUACAACAAGUUCGAGCCCGUUAAUGGGUGAGAGCGUGCCUUUUGUAGAAUGAACCGGCGAGUUACGUUAUGAUGCGAGGUUAAGUUGAAGAGACGGAGCCGUAGGGAAACCGAGUCUGAAUAGGGCGCCUUAGUAUCAUGACGUAGACCCGAAACCAUGUGACCUACCCAUGAGCAGGUUGAAGGUGCGGUAAGACGCACUGGAGGACCGAACCAGGGCACGUUGAAAAGUGCUUGGAUGACUUGUGGGUAGCGGAGAAAUUCCAAACGAACUUGGAGAUAGCUGGUUCUCUCCGAAAUAGCUUUAGGGCUAGCGUCGACAUUAGAGAUUCUUGGAGGUAGAGCACUGUUUGGGUGAGGGGUCCAUCCCGGAUUACCAAUCUCAGAUAAACUCCGAAUGCCAAUGAAUUAUGGUCGGCAGUCAGACUGCGAGUGCUAAGAUCCGUAGUCGAAAGGGAAACAGCCCAGACCACCAGCUAAGGUCCCAAAAUAAUUGUUAAGUGGAAAAGGAUGUGGGGUUGCACAGACAACUAGGAUGUUAGCUUAGAAGCAGCUAUUCAUUCAAAGAGUGCGUAAUAGCUCACUAGUCGAGUGACCCUGCGCCGAAAAUGUACCGGGGCUAAAACAAUUUACCGAAGCUGUGGAUACCUUUAUAGGUAUGGUAGGAGAGCGUUCUAUGUGUGAUGAAGGUAUACCGUGAGGAGUGCUGGAACGCAUAGAAGUGAGAAUGCCGGUAUGAGUAGCGAAAGACAGGUGAGAAUCCUGUCCACCGUAAGACUAAGGUUUCCAGGGGAAGGCUCGUCCGCCCUGGGUUAGUCGGGACCUAAGGAGAGACCGAAAGGUGUAUCCGAUGGACAACAGGUUGAUAUUCCUGUACUAGAGUAUGUAGUGAUGGAGGGACGCAGUAGGCUAACUAAAGCAGACGAUUGGAAGAGUCUGUCUAAGCAGUGAGGUGUGAAUUGAGUCAAAUGCUUAAUUCUAUAACAUUGAGCUGUGAUGGGGAGCGAAGUUUAGUAGCGAAGUUAGUGACGUCACACUGCCAAGAAAAGCUUCUAGCGUUUAAACAUACUCUACCCGUACCGCAAACCGACACAGGUAGUCGAGGCGAGUAGCCUCAGGUGAGCGAGAGAACUCUCGUUAAGGAACUCGGCAAAAUGACCCCGUAACUUCGGGAGAAGGGGUGCUGACUUUAAGUCAGCCGCAGUGAAUAGGCCCAAGCAACUGUUUAUCAAAAACACAGCUCUCUGCUAAAUCGUAAGAUGAUGUAUAGGGGGUGACGCCUGCCCGGUGCUGGAAGGUUAAGAGGAGUGCUUAGCGUAAGCGAAGGUAUGAAUUGAAGCCCCAGUAAACGGCGGCCGUAACUAUAACGGUCCUAAGGUAGCGAAAUUCCUUGUCGGGUAAGUUCCGACCCGCACGAAAGGCGUAAUGAUUUGGGCACUGUCUCAACGAGAGACUCGGUGAAAUUUUAGUACCUGUGAAGAUGCAGGUUACCCGCGACAGGACGGAAAGACCCCAUGGAGCUUUACUGCAGUUUGAUAUUGAGUGUCUGUACCACAUGUACAGGAUAGGUAGGAGUCUAAGAGAUCGGGACGCCAGUUUCGAAGGAGACGCUGUUGGGAUACUACCCUUGUGUUAUGGCCACUCUAACCCAGAUAGGUGAUCCCUAUCGGAGACAGUGUCUGACGGGCAGUUUGACUGGGGCGGUCGCCUCCUAAAAGGUAACGGAGGCGCCCAAAGGUUCCCUCAGAAUGGUUGGAAAUCAUUCGCAGAGUGUAAAGGUAUAAGGGAGCUUGACUGCGAGAGCUACAACUCGAGCAGGGACGAAAGUCGGGCUUAGUGAUCCGGUGGUUCCGUAUGGAAGGGCCAUCGCUCAACGGAUAAAAGCUACCCUGGGGAUAACAGGCUUAUCUCCCCCAAGAGUUCACAUCGACGGGGAGGUUUGGCACCUCGAUGUCGGCUCGUCGCAUCCUGGGGCUGUAGUCGGUCCCAAGGGUUGGGCUGUUCGCCCAUUAAAGCGGCACGCGAGCUGGGUUCAGAACGUCGUGAGACAGUUCGGUCCCUAUCCGUCGCGGGCGUAGGAAAUUUGAGAGGAUCUGCUCCUAGUACGAGAGGACCAGAGUGGACUUACCGCUGGUGUACCAGUUGUCUUGCCAAAGGCAUCGCUGGGUAGCUAUGUAGGGAAGGGAUAAACGCUGAAAGCAUCUAAGUGUGAAACCCACCUCAAGAUGAGAUUUCCCAUGAUUAUAUAUCAGUAAGAGCCCUGAGAGAUGAUCAGGUAGAUAGGUUAGAAGUGGAAGUGUGGCGACACAUGUAGCGGACUAAUACUAAUAGCUCGAGGACUUAUCCAA
Molecule: ribosomal RNA, 2725 nt
Filed under: Streptococcus pneumoniae
Lineage: Bacteria; Bacillati; Bacillota; Bacilli; Lactobacillales; Streptococcaceae
Description: 23S ribosomal RNA
Rfam family: Bacterial large subunit ribosomal RNA
Source: RNAcentral